Molecule: ribosomal RNA, 237 nt
Filed under: uncultured bacterium
Lineage: Bacteria
Description: partial 16S ribosomal RNA
Rfam family: Bacterial small subunit ribosomal RNA
Source: RNAcentral
CGGGACGGGUGAGUAACGCGUGGGUAACCUGCCUUGUACAGGGGGAUAACAGUUGGAAACGGCUGCUAAUACCGCAUAAGCGCACAGCAUCGCAUGAUGCAGUGUGAAAAACUCCGGUGGUAUAAGAUGGACCCGCGGUUGGAUUAGCUAGUUGGUGAGGUAACGGCCCACCAAGGCGACGAUCCAUAGCCGACCUGAGAGGGUGAACGGCCACAUUGGGACUGAGACACGGCCCAA